Molecule: small RNA, 116 nt
Filed under: Marmota monax (woodchuck)
Lineage: Eukaryota; Metazoa; Chordata; Mammalia; Rodentia; Sciuridae
Source: RNAcentral
GCCGGACAUGGUGGUGCACACCUGUGCUCCCAGGUACUUAGGAGACUGAGGCAGGAGCAUCACUUGAGCCCAGGAGUUCAAGGCCAGCCUGGGCAACACUGUAAGACCCCCAUCUU